UCUUCGAUACCCUUGGAAGGGGCCUGGAGGCAUCUAUAGGAUGCUCUCUUAUGCAAAUUUACUGGUGUUCAGACUGCUACGCUGCAUCAUUCGGUGCCACCUUUCCGCAUUCCGUGUAUCGCCGCCGCCACAGCCCCAAUCCAGGCGACGAGACCCCACAUGACGUACCAAACAAGUAUGGUUAAAAAAUACAAACUUCCGCUACAAUUACGAACGGAGCACACGCCAUGGAGUAUUGCAACUGGGUUGCAGAUCGGUCAAGUCAACUGUUGGGCAUCUGAGAGCCAUCCCGUAUUAGCCCCAAACCUCCAUGAUUGUAUAC
Molecule: long non-coding RNA, 322 nt
Filed under: Volvox carteri
Lineage: Eukaryota; Viridiplantae; Chlorophyta; Chlorophyceae; Chlamydomonadales; Volvocaceae
Description: long non-coding RNA (VCAR_LNC002836)
Source: RNAcentral